Molecule: ribosomal RNA, 732 nt
Filed under: uncultured eukaryote
Lineage: Eukaryota
Description: SSU rRNA
Rfam family: Eukaryotic small subunit ribosomal RNA
Source: RNAcentral
GGUGUGUACUGGUCUUGAUGGAAGCUUACCUCUUGGUGGGUCGGCAUGCCCUUCGUUGGGUGUGUCGAUUAACCAGGACUUUUACUUUGAGAAAAUUAGAGUGUUCAAAGCAGGCUUUCGCCCGAAUACAUUAGCAUGGAAUAAUAGAAUAGGACGCGCGUCUUUAUUUUGUUGGUUUCUAAAUUCGCCGUAAUGAUUAAUAGGGAUAGUCGGGGGCAUUCGUAUUGCUUGGUCAGAGGUGAAAUUCUUGGAUUCUAGCAAGACGAACUACUGCGAAAGCAUUUGCCAAGGAUGUUUUCAUUGAUCAAGAACGAAGGUUAGGGGAUCGAAAACGAUCAGAUACCGUUGUAGUCUUAACAGUAAACUAUGCCGACUAGGGAUCGGACAAGCACAAUCUAUGACUUGUUCGGCACCUGAAGAGAAAUCUUUAAGUCUAGGUUCGGGGGGGAGUAUGGUCGCAAGGCUGAAACUUAAAGGAAUUGACGGAAGGGCACCACCAGGUGUGGAGCCUGCGGCUUAAUUUGACUCAACACGGGGAAACUCACCAGGUCCAGACACAAUAAGGAUUGACAGAUUGAUAGCUCUUUCUUGAUCUUGUGGUUGGUGGUGCAUGGCCGUUCUUAGUUGGUGGAGUGAUUUGUCUGGUUAAUUCCGAUAACGAACGAGACCUUAACCUGCUAAAUAGACCCGGGGGCCUUAGGGAACCGGCUGUCUUCUUAGAGGGACUGUAGG